GAGUUUGUAUCCUGGCUCAGGAUGAACGCUAGCUACAGGCUUAACACAUGCAAGUCGAGGGGCAGCAUGAACUUAGCUUGCUAAGUUUGAUGGCGACCGGCGCACGGGUGAGUAACACGUAUCCAACCUGCCGAGUGACUCGGGGAUAGCCUUUCGAAAGAAAGAUUAAUACCCGAUGGCAUAGUUCUUCCGCAUGGUGGAACUAUUAAAGAAUUUCGGUCAUCGAUGGGGAUGCGUUCCAUUAGGUU
This 248-nucleotide ribosomal RNA is filed under the name uncultured bacterium. RNAcentral's name for it is "partial 16S ribosomal RNA". It matches the Rfam family "Bacterial small subunit ribosomal RNA", at positions 9 to 247 of the family's 1533-position model. The record is from RNAcentral.